RNAcentral lists this ribosomal RNA (218 nucleotides) under uncultured bacterium. RNAcentral describes it as "partial 16S ribosomal RNA". It matches the Rfam family "Bacterial small subunit ribosomal RNA", at positions 328 to 539 of the family's 1533-position model. The record is from RNAcentral.
ACGCUCGACACCUACGGGAGGUAGCAGUGAGGAAUAUUGGUCAAUGGACGCAAGUCUGAACCAGCCAUGCUGCGUGCAGGAUGACGGCUCUAUGAGUUGUAAACUGCUUUUGUACGAGGGUAAACGCAGAUACGUGUAUCUGUCUGAAAGUAUCGUACGAAUAAGGAUCGGCUAACUCCGUGCCAACAGCCGCGGUAAUCUGAGCGGGCUGGCAAGGC